Molecule: long non-coding RNA, 229 nt
Organism: Selaginella moellendorffii
Lineage: Eukaryota; Viridiplantae; Streptophyta; Lycopodiopsida; Selaginellales; Selaginellaceae
Exons: 3
Source: RefSeq, a predicted model, not a curated record
UGCAACAGGUUCGCCGUAUGGUUUGAAGCGUCUCUUUGGAGCAAGACAGACUUUAACCAGCAAGCAGGAUGAGUAGUCGUUUGGAAGCUUUGAGAAUGGCGUUCGAUCGUUAUAGAUGUACCUUCAAGAAAAAAAUCCACGAAGCAUAAGAUAUACGCCUUGUUCGUGGCAACUCGCAUUGAAAUCCUGGACGCUGCCAUGGUUUGAGCUGGAGCUAAUCGAGAACCAG